RNAcentral lists this small nuclear RNA (117 nucleotides) under Papilio xuthus (Asian swallowtail). RNAcentral's name for it is "U5 spliceosomal RNA". It matches the Rfam family "U5 spliceosomal RNA". From Rfam's summary of the family: U5 RNA is a component of both types of known spliceosome. The precise function of this molecule is unknown, though it is known that the 5' loop is required for splice site selection and p220 binding, and that both the 3' stem-loop and the Sm site are important for Sm protein binding and cap methylation. The record is from Rfam by way of RNAcentral. Lineage: Eukaryota; Metazoa; Arthropoda; Insecta; Lepidoptera; Papilionidae.
UCACUCUUGUUUUCCUUUAAAACAUAUAAAUCUUUCGCCUUUUACGAAAAGAAUUCCGUAGAAGGAACACUCAAAUGAGUCUUUAAUAUUUUUUGCAUAGCUUUUCUUCUGGGGAGU